GGGUCAUUUCUUGAUGAAUAUCAGUGGAGCACAAUUGACCUCCUACUGGGACACAGGCAACAGGAAAAACAGAAAAAACAGGAAUAUAGGAAGUACAGGAAAUGCAUACCUUGGCUUUACGAGUGCAGCUCUCCUCAGCUACAAAGGUCUGGAGGAAUCACUCAACUGCUGUUUUAACCAUUUAGAGACAGAACAAAAGCAAACUUUCAAGAUCAAUUCAAAAGUUGUAACUGCCACUUUUAGUAACUAUGAAACCAAAACCAAUCUAAUGAAACCAGUAAAUCUCACAUUUUCUCACUUGAAGAGAAAGAAGGAGAAACAUAUCUGUGUGUUUUGGGAUCCUGAACUGGAAGGGGGCGCGUGGUCAACACGUGGCUGCAUUACAGUGAGAUCCAGGGCCGAUCAGACCGUCUGCUCCUGUUAUAAGCUCGGCAGUUUUGCUGUGCUGACGGCUCUCUGUGACACUGGGGUCUGUAUGCUUAACUUUUGUCAAAAAGGCAGCUAAUCUUGAGCUUGAUAAUUUACCCUGAUCUUCAAAUUCAAAAGUUUUCAACCCCUGGCUCUUAAUGCAUUGUGUUUCCUUCUGGAGCAUCAGUGAGCGUUUAAACCUUCUGUAAUAGUUGCAUAUGAGUCCCUCAGUUGUCCUCAGUGUGAAAAGAUGGAUCUCAAAAUUAUGCAGUCAUUGUUGGAAAGGGUUCAAUACAUAACAAAGAAUUGGGGGACCUGAAGGAUUUUUCUGAAGAACAGCGGGCAGUUUAACUGUUCAGGACAAACAAUGGAUUCAUAAACAACUAUCACUAAACAAAACAAAACAAAACAAAAAAAAAACACAGCUGUGGAUCAUGUGACUCAAGUGUAGGGAAACUUUUGAACAGGGUAAUUUUUAUAAAUUCAACUAUUAUUUUCUCUUGUGGACUAUAUGUAAACAUCUUUUAUUUUAAAUAUUUUAUUCAGGUCAGUACUAAAUAAAAAAUAACAUGCAUUUUGUAUGAUCCCUCUUAGUUUGGUAAAAUAAUUAAUGUUUUGCAGAUUCUCCUCCACUGUAAUCAUUUAUAAUAAUCCUUUAAGCCAUUUAUAUACUCAUUUCAUUGAUUUAUUCACUGAUUAUUCAUUUAUAUUAUAUAAUUGUUUUUAUAUUAUUUUUCCAUUGUUGUUUAGUCUUAUGAUAUGUGACCCUGGACCACAAAACCAGUCUUAAGUCGCUGGGGUAUAUUUGUAGCAAUAGCCAAAAAUACAUUGUAUGAGUCAAAAUGAUUGAUUUUUCUUUUAUGGCAAAAAUCAUUAGGAAAUUAAGUAAAGAUCAUGUUCCAUGAAGAUAUUUUGUAAAAUUCCUUUUGUAAAUGUAUGAAAACUUAAUUUUUGAUUAGUCAUAUAAAUAGUUGUAUCUUGGCCAAAUAUUGUCCUAUCCUAACAAACUAUACAUCAAUGAAAAGCUUAUUUAUCCAGCUUUCAUAUGAUGCAUAAAUCUCAAUUUUGAAAAAAUGACCCUUAUGACUGGUUUUGUGAUCCAGGGUCACAUAUGUGGUUUCAAGGGCUACUUGUCUUCAUGAGUAAGAUAUAAGAGACUGUCUUCAUUUCAAGGUUUUUAAUGUCACAGUUGUUGUGAAGUAAUUUUCCAUUGCUAUUGCUUGUGAUAUAGUCCUCACUACUCACUGCAGGGCUUUCCUGUCAGAUGCUGAGCAGUGUUAGUACACUUUCAAUAACGCAUCUACAGAAACCAGUGAGGACGAGGGGAAAACGCCAUCUCUCUUCAGUUUUUAUCUCUUAAAUUUAACUAUCUCUUUAGAUAUUUAUACCUCAAUACUGUAGUACAUUAAAAAAACAGUACACAAUAACAGAGUGUAAAUGAAGUAUGAACUCUAUAUUAAACUAUGUGUAAACUAGGCACAGUAUACAUACUGCAGAAAUAGUAAGAUUAGUAUGAUAUGGCGCCUACUAUGCCCUUAAAGUAUGUACUAUUUGGGGAAGAAAAAGUGCACACUUUUAAGUGUGUAAUAAAAGAGCAAGCAAGCUUUGGAUAAUUGGCUCUUUUUUUUUCAUAAUAAUAAUGCAUUUAAAUGGCCAAACAAAUGUAUAAUAGUUAUAAAAGUUCACAUUGUUGUUACAGAUGAAAUUUAACACAGAUAAAAUUUUAAAAAACAUUUUUUUAACAGGUUAAAUGUUCAUUAUUAGUAACUCGAACCCUAAAUCUAAACUUCUCGAACUAACCGUCGGUCGCGCACAUCCGCCAUGUUUGUAGUUUUUAAACGCUUUUUAUUGUAGUUCUGAACGUAAUCCUUCGCCAAAGUGCAAUGAAUUGUGGGUAAUAUUAGCCACUGGAGUGUGUACGGACCCACACCUCAAUAUCUCCAUGAAGUAACGGACCAUCCGGGGACUUUUGUGAUACUGUUUUCAACAUACUAUGCUUUGGGACACACUGUUUAGGAUAGAUCCCACAUACCAUUUAGGACGGACAGUGUUGAACAUUGGGACAUAAAUUCAUAUCCAAAACAGUAUUUAAAAAGAGUAUUAAAAUAUAU
Molecule: long non-coding RNA, 2519 nt
Organism: Labeo rohita (rohu)
Lineage: Eukaryota; Metazoa; Chordata; Actinopteri; Cypriniformes; Cyprinidae
Exons: 3
Source: RefSeq, a predicted model, not a curated record